GUCGAACGAUGAGGCCCAGCUUGCUGGGCCGAUUAGUGGCGAACGGGUGAGUAACACGUGAGUAACCUGCCCCCGACUCUGGGAUAAGCCCGGGAAACUGGGUCUAAUACCGGAUAUUCUCCCCCCGCCGCAUGGCGGGGGGUGGAAAGCGGUUUAGCGGUCGGGGAUGGACUCGCGGCCUAUCAGCUUGUUGGCGGGGUAACGGCCCACCAAGGCGACGACGGGUAGCCGGCCUGAGAGGGUGACCGGCCACACUGGGACUGAGACACGGCCCAGACUCCUACGGGAGGCAGCAGUGGGGAAUAUUGCACAAUGGGCGAAAGCCUGAUGCAGCGACGCCGCGUGAGGGAUGACGGCCUUCGGGUUGUAAACCUCUUUCAGUAGGGAAGAAGCGAAAGUGACGGUACCUGCAGAAGAAGCGCCGGCUAACUACGUGCCAGCAGCCGCGGUAAUACGUAGGGCGCAAGCGUUAUCCGGAAUUAUUGGGCGUAAAGAGCUCGUAGGCGGUUUGUCGCGUCUGCCGUGAAAGUCCGGGGCUCAACCCCGGAUCUGCGGUGGGUACGGGCAGACUAGAGUGAUGUAGGGGAGACUGGAAUUCCUGGUGUAGCGGUGAAAUGCGCAGAUAUCAGGAGGAACACCGAUGGCGAAGGCAGGUCUCUGGGCAUUAACUGACGCUGAGGAGCGAAAGCAUGGGGAGCGAACAGGAUUAGAUAC
This 714-nucleotide ribosomal RNA is filed under the name Actinomycetes bacterium. Its description in RNAcentral is "bacterial SSU rRNA". It matches the Rfam family "Bacterial small subunit ribosomal RNA", at positions 61 to 785 of the family's 1533-position model. The record is from RNAcentral. Lineage: Bacteria; Bacillati; Actinomycetota; Actinomycetes.